UUUUUAAUCAUACCAGUGAUCUAAUAUUCAGAUCACUGACAGUCCUAAGUCUGUAAAAAUGAGAAGGAAAA
Molecule: non-coding RNA, 71 nt
Filed under: Acyrthosiphon pisum (pea aphid)
Lineage: Eukaryota; Metazoa; Arthropoda; Insecta; Hemiptera; Aphididae
Source: RNAcentral